Molecule: long non-coding RNA, 6055 nt
Organism: Lagopus muta (rock ptarmigan)
Lineage: Eukaryota; Metazoa; Chordata; Aves; Galliformes; Phasianidae
Exons: 5
Source: RefSeq, a predicted model, not a curated record
UGCAGAUUCAUCCCUUGUGGAGCUUUUCCCCAUGAGCUGAGAUCUUUGAGACAGUUCUGUCAUCAGUAAUUCCUGAGGAGCCUGCAGAGUUCCCUGUUUGACAAACUGUUCCCAAGUGUAUCUGGUUUGUCCCUGAGGGAGGCUGCAGAUGUUGAAGUGGUGUUCGAUUCCUCAGCAGCCAGCAGGAACUUUGCUCCAGUAAAAACAAAGUCUGGGACACUGGAUUAUUUCAGCUGCUUAUCCCAUAUCCCACUGUGACCAAAGGCCAGCAGAGGGUAUCGCCAGCUGAGAGUAGAGGCUGGAUGUAAAGCAGACAUCUAUCACAGUGGCACUAGAAGCCUGGGGCUGUGCAGGAAGAAGUCAGGGUACAGGAAUCAACAGCAGGAUUCACUGGGAAGGGCCUCUCAUCUCUACAGAAGCCCUUCUGCAAUGCUGCACUGCGUCCAGCCAGGCGCCGCUUCUGUGCUCCAGAAGGAAGAAGGAUGGGCGAGCAUCGAUCUGAGCUGCUGCUGGGCCUUGUCCUGCUGCUGGCAGUGCUGCACGAAGCCGUCUCCUCCAGGGCUGCUCUGAGCAAUGAUCAAACAUAGGCGUUUCAUGGAGCAAACCCUGCAGCAGACAGCUGGAGCUUGACCUUCCUUUCAUGUCAAUAGGAAAACUCUCAGAACUGAGCAUAAGCCAGUCUGUAUGUAAACUCCUUCAUUAGUCUUCAACAAUUAGAGGCUGAUAGAUGGCCUGAAGGGUGAGAUACCCCACCUAUUAGUGGGGCUGCUCUGAACACAAUCCUCCUUAGCCCUGAGUGCCUGGUGGAAAUACAACAGGUGAUCCUGCAAGAAAAGUCAGUGCUGUUACAAUUCAGUUGUUUUCCUUUAGAGUUAUUAUGUAUCUUCUUCUACACUUCACAAAUAUUUGGAAAACAAGAACACUUAGCUUUUAACUAAAUUGCACCAGAACAAAUAUUUUUAUUGCUGCACUGAAAGCUGCGGGUCUGCCCAAGCCAAAUUCCAUUUAAUGUUUCUUUAACGACCUCUGAGACAGUUUAGCCACGUUCUGAUGAGUGUUCAAGUGAGAUGGCAUUUGUUAGGUUGCAGCUGUUUAAGUCCAGCAUGACUUUGCUACUCCAACCACAAGUGUUAACACCGCCCCGGGUACCGAGGCAGCUGAUCCUGGUUUCUCUGCUUACAACAAAAAGUAAUGGCACUGGAGAAUGAGGUGGCAGGGAAGUUCAAGCAGUUGUGCCAGCACUGCUCAGGCUGCCUGCAGAUCUUCGUGCUGCAGUAUUGCCUCUGUGGGCAGCUCCGAGAUGGGUACGUGAGAGUGGCUCCCGCUGAACCACUUGAAUAUAGAUGCAGCUGGGUUUCUGAAUUCACAUUCAAGUCUUCCCCUUCAUUUUGUAUGGCUGAGGAAAUUCUAGAAUGCUCAGAUGCAUUUUCUGAUAAGUCUGAGUUCCACUGAGACAGAAAUCGCUCUAACCCACAAAAUCAAGAAGGCGUUUCAGUUUAAUGUAUGAACUUGGCUUCUCCCUUUCUGUGAGAGGACUUUGCAAGGCUGCGAUCUCCCAGGGCAGCUCUGGGACAACAUCCUCAACACCGGGCUGCUUUCAUUCUCAGAAACCGAGCAGGAUUACAGAAAGGAACACAGUCACUGGGAGAAGUGGCACUACGAACUGACUUUGCUGUAAUUGUGGAGACUCAGUACUGCACAGAAGUGCAUCCCUUUAAUGGAUGACUUUUCAGAGCCAAGAUGAGAAGGACAAUACAGUUGAGUGAGGUGGGAAGGAUGUACGGGCUUUUCCCCUUGAAAGUACAGCUUAGAAAAUGUCAGCAGUGGGCACUGCUGCGUUGUGAAUAGAGAUGUAGUGGAUACCUUCUGUGACUUAUGAGGACAAACGGUGCUGUUGGCUCAUCGUGGUGCAAUUCUGGAGUUCGGAAGGAAAAACGAAGGAACGUUAACUAGAUUAUUUCUGCUACUAAUUCUGCUAACGAAGGGAGCAGUGGGGGUGCAGCUGUGGGCUGAAGCAGUCGGUGCUGAGGAUGCUCCACGCUCUUUGCCUGCACGCACGGGGCUCUGGGUGCUCUGCAGGCCAGCACAGCAGCAGUUGGAGCACGAGGAUGCUUCUGGUUUAGCUUUGUCUGAAAGUGCCCGACGCUGCCUUUCAACACCGCUCCACAAUGCAAAUGUGAAGGGACAGUGGAAAUGGCACGGAGCCUCACUUCGGGCUGACGGCUCUGUCCCCAGCGCUGCCGACGCCCGGCCGAGGAAGGAGCUCCGCUCCGGGCCCCACCAGGUGGCACUGCGGUAAAGCGCUGCCGCAAGGAAGGCGUGCGGCCAUCCGCCACGGCCCUGCGCGAGGAAUAAAUGCCGAGCACUCAGGGAUCUGUAGAGCUGGGAAGGUAGGUGGCAUUUAUGGCAAGAGUAUUGAUCUCCAAUGGAACGAGUCUAUAAUGAAUGGCAUUUCAGAGGAUCUGGCUGUUACUACGGCUGUGAAAAGUUCAUUUAGAGCUAACAGAUAUGGCUGUAACGAUACAUCUGAAGAGCUAGAACUAAUGAAGAAGCCUCCAGUGCUACUGAAGUACUUAGGAAUAAAGCCUUAUUACUCGACAAAAAGCUGUGACACCACGGUUAGAAACUCACAGCAUCACAAGCGAUUCUCUGCAGGUGGAGCCUUCACGGUCCUCAGGGAAGGGCCAAUGUGUGAGGCUCAGCUCAGCCAAGCUGCUUUGUUUCCUCGGACCAACGCUUCGUUCCCAGUCAGGCAAGUUCCCUUUGUGGUAGGCUGUUCUGUUUUUCUCAGGAAUGAAAGCAAAACCACUUAUUUUUAUUGUAAAUCAUAUUUAAAAAGCCAUAAUACUAACGUGAGCCAUCUGAAAUUGACACCGAUUUGCCUUCACAAUAGCAGGAUAAUUAAUAUCAGUGUUUAUGUAGUAUCUCUCCUUGCACAAGAUCCCCCAGGAGUUUGCAGAUAACAGCCUGCAGAAGCUAUUGUAGCCAUCAUACAAAACAUCUGGUCCACGCCUGUUUAAAAAUCCCAUUUUAAUUUCAACUCUGCUUCCCCCUAAAGUCAAUGGACUGCUUUGCCUUCCAGAGUUGAGUUAAGCCCUUUGUUUCCAUUUGGUCCCUGAAAAGAAAGGAAAUGAAUUACAAUAGUUUUGUACAGCACCUCCCAGAGACCAUGUGUUAAUUGCACAUGCCCUGCACAGGCAGCUGAUGGGCACACGCAGUGAACGUGGCAGGGAUUUUGAGGUGACGUGUGACCUGCUUGGAGGUGCCAAUUUCCAGAUGCCCCCAGUGUCUCAGGGCACUGGGAGCAUCUGGAGAUUCCAGAUAACUCCAACAAAGGCCUGAGCAACAAAACCCUGAGUGUAUGUGGUGACCUUCGGAGUGGCUACAGCUCUCUGACUGUGACAAGAGGAAACAGCCCCCCCAGAACUGUCUGUUCACUGCAUAAGCAUGAAAUGAUUUGAGGCACUGCAACCUAUUAUUAGGUUAAUGAACUCAAACCCCAGAAUUCUUCAGUCCCGAAGCAACCAGAGGCUACCAGUAAAGACCAAUCUGUGGGAGUUAAUGUGUGCACAAAAGGACGUUUUACGCUGCCUGGACUCCUGCUGAUGUUCCUCAUGUCUGUGCCAUCUCCUGAGACACAAGGCAUUUGUCAGCAGGAAGGUGGGUGGGUGGAGGUCCUGAUGCUGCUCCUGCCGUGGCUGAGCCGUGCAGUGCAGUGGUGUGAGGCUGGCAGCGAUGGCUCUGCUUCCAGCACUUCCUCCUCUGGCACAUGAGUGUGGAUUUGCACCCUUGGCACUCGCACUGAACUCAGGCAGGCACAGCAAUACCACCUCUCUCCUCGUCACUACCAGGCGUUCAAAGCUCAUUUGCUUUAUUUAACACACAUAGGAAAGUUCUCAGCAGCUGCCAGGUAAGCCUUCCUACUUGCCUUAGAAUCAAAAGGUGCCGCCGAUUUUUCGGAUGCUGCAAAGGCAGAAGCAGACAGUUGUGUCAGAGACAGAGAUCUGAAGCCUUGGAGGAAAAUUUCCCUAUUUGUGCUGUCACUGUGUACAGGGGAGGAUGGAGAGCAAGGGAAAGAGUCGCCUAGGAAGAAAUGGGAAGAAAGGAAACUUGAUUGUGAAGAGCAGGAUAGGAAAUGAACUCUGCAUUCAGAAAUGGCAGAAGAUGAAGAUAACAAACAGAAGAAUAAGCUGGCAAGCUUUGUUAGAGUUGUAAAGUGCUCGUUUAAAUCUACUUUUGUUCCUUGUGAUUCACAGAAGUGAAAGUGCGCCCCAGAUCCCUCAGUGCCUUCUGCACAGCCCACUGCUGUGAGCUGCAGUGUUUGAGCCCCGUGAACUGCACUGCUUUAACUGGAAACAGGCCCAGAGGAAUGAGUGGGGCUGCUUCUGCCUUCCCAAGCUGCCUGCAGUCAUGCACAUGGACAAGGCAAUCACUGGGGUAGACAGUGAAUGACUGUCAGUGGAACCAUCUGUAUCCUACCCUAGAAUAUUUGAGAUUGCUGUUAGCAUCCGGCGGGGAUGCUAUAUCCCUACAGACAGUGAACUGAAUGAAUUUUGCUUUUCUGGACAAUUUCCUUUGCUGCCCUCUUCUUAAAAUGCUAAGAGCCAUUUACAGAAUUUGCUGAGGGCAAGCGCUGAUUCAAUUGCAUAUCAAAGACCUUAUGGCAGUAGAGAAGUCAUCUUCCUCGUGUCCUUUUACAUCUUGCAGAUCGUGAAUCUCCGCACAGCACUGAUUUGGAGAGCAGCAUAUUCUUUGCCUUGUGCUGUCAGUGAUGAGAUGCCUCAUUCUGCUUCAGGGGGUUCUGCCAGGUGACUCUCGAGGGAGAUAUUUCUGCUUUUGUUUCACAACCCCUCUGGCACCAGGCACGCAGGUUAAGACAGAGGGAGGAGCACUGCAAAAUAACAACUCCUUCCAGUUCCUGGGAUGUGUUGUAUUCCCAGCACACAAACGAUCAAACUCCCUUCGUUAUGCUGCAAACUUUAGCUAAUAAUGACUAUCAAGAAAUUAUACUUCCAUUUCUUCUAAUUCUAUAUGAAGCUCAUACAACACUUUCUUCCAAAAAACAAUGCCUUGUAUCAGAUGCUGACUUUAAUUCCAUGUGAAUUUCUGUGGUGCUCACGGGUGGAGAAAAUCUCAGUGUGAUAUUUGUGGGAAGAAAUGAAUGAGCCCCAGUAUCUUCAAAUGGCUUAAAAUGUCCUCCUGAGGAUUUCUGUCAAACACAUUUCCAGGUUUAGGUGAAAAGCGUAUUGAAGGAAAACCAACCAGAAAGCUUUCACAUCAAGAUCAGGGGUCACUAGAGAAAAUUUUGUCAGCAAUAAUAUACAGAAACAUACCUAGAGAUGCUGACAGCAUGGAAGAAACCCUGGUGUCGCUGCAGUGAAUGACAGAACUCAAUUCUCUGAUGAUUUCAUUGGGAGCCACAUUUCUCCUUGAAGCUGUCAUUUAUGCAUUAGAAAACAUUUGUGUAUCCUUCACCACAAUGAGUGCUGGAAAUCUUUGCUGCUGGAAGGAGCCUGCAGAGGUGGGACGGGCUCCAGUGCUUUCCUUGUAGAGCUGACAGUGCAGGACUAGAGAACUGCUUCCUAUGGGUCCUGUUAGAUGAAAACCAUUAGCUGUGGUCGUUUCCAACCUUGUGAUUCUCUCAUUCUAUGGUUCUAUGUGCUUUCAGAUGCAAAGGACAGAGAGGCAUGAAACGUGAUUGGUUUUGCCAUUUAUUUAAUCUUACACUUGUCACAUCCCUAUCAGCCCUAUAUGAACAACACCUUAAAAUAAGCACGCCAUGCCCUGUGCUGGUCUACCCAUGGGGAAUAGCAUAGAAACACUUGGAAAUAUUUGAAGAAAACAUCCAUGUGAGAGCAUUAUAUUGCUUCAGAUAAGACAUCUCUGAAGUUGCAUACUUGUGUUCUGAACUUUUUUGCCUGUGGACACGUGGCCACAGACAGCUGCACAGAGCUGAACGGAUCCCAUUUAAAGACACCCUGGUAAGCAAGGUGCUCGUAUCUGGGCACAUCUGUGGGGGACAGUUACUGACAGGGAUUUCAAAGGAGUCUGAAGG